RNAcentral lists this ribosomal RNA (406 nucleotides) under uncultured bacterium. RNAcentral describes it as "partial 16S ribosomal RNA". It matches the Rfam family "Bacterial small subunit ribosomal RNA", at positions 30 to 526 of the family's 1533-position model. The record is from RNAcentral.
AUUGAACGCUGGCGGCAGGCCUAACACAUGCAAGUCGAACGAGUGGCGGACGGGUGAGUAAUGUCUGGGAAACUGCCUGAUGGAGGGGGAUAACUACUGGAAACGGUAGCUAAUACCGCAUACCAUCAGAUGUGCCCAGAUGGGAUUAGCUAGUUGGUGGGGUAACGGCUCACCAAGGCGACGAUCCCUAGCUGGUCUGAGAGGACGACCAGCCACACUGGGACUGAGACACGGUCAAGACUCCUACGGGAGGCAGCAGUGGGGAAUGUUGCACAAUGGGCGCAACCCUGAUUCAGCCAUGCCGCGUGUAUGAAGAAGGCCUUCGGGUUGUAAAGUACUUUCGGCGGGGAGGCGUUAUCUGCAGAAGAAGCACCGGCUAACUCCGUGCCAGCAGCCGCGGUAAUAC